AGGCCGCCCGGUGUUGUGUCGUCAGGUAGCCGCCUCCCCACCUCUUCUGCUUGUUCUCCGCGGCGGCGGCUUGGAUCGGAGCGGAGGAAGAAGAUGGUGGCAUCGAUCAGGGUGCCCAAGACCCAACGCGCCAGGCGGGAGCUUCUCAAGCACGCGCCCAAGCUUGUUGAGACCAGCAAGAAGACACUGAUCCUCCAUGGUACCAAGACUAGUGCUGUGUUGAACUCUGUGCUGUCAGAUAUUUACCACCUAAAGCGUGAUAAUGCUGUGAAAUAUACCAAGAAGAAUGACAACAUUAGGCCUUUUGAAAGUGGUGGAGAAUCUUCUCUGGAGUUUUUCUCUCUUAAGGCAGACUGUAGCCUUAUAGUGUAUGGUUCUCAUUCAAAGAAGAGGCCCAACAAUCUGAUUUUGGGUAGAACGUAUGACCACCACAUAUAUGACCUUGUUGAAGUAGGAGUUGAGAACUACAAGUCAAUGGAAUCUUAUGUUUAUGAUAAGAAGCUAGCACCAUUACUUGGAUCGAAGCCUUUCUUUGCUUUCAUAGGGGAACACUUUGAGAGUGCUGAAGAGCUGAAACAUUUGAAAGAAGUGCUGCUUGAUCUUUUCAGAGGAGAGGUCGUAGAGAAUCUGAACCUUGCUGGUGUGGAUCGGAUCUAUGUGUGCACUGCAAUCUCUCCCACUACCGUCUACAUGAUGCACUGUGCUCUCCGUCUAAAAAGGUCAGGUACAUCUAUUCCUAGGAUGGAACUGGUCGAAGUUGGACCUUCGAUGGAUCUGGUUGUAAGGAGGCACAGACUUCCAGCUGAAAGUUUAAAGAAAGAAGCUAUGAAGACCGCUGAACAUGCUAAGAAGAUGAAAAACGUCACUAAGGAUCCAGUGCAGGGCAAGCUGGGCAAGGUCUACAUGCCAGACCAGCAGGUUGGAAAGUUGACCUUAUCAAACGACAUAAAGGGACUAAAGAGGGAGCGCCGUGAAGCCAAGAAAAACCAGGACUCAAAGAAGCAAAAGGUCAACCCCGAGUAAAGAUCACUGAAGUUUACCUUUGCAUUGGAUACAGGUCAGGUUAAGAAACCCUGGUUUGUAUCUGUUCCCAUCUGCUGUGUUAUCCAAUUAGAAGUUGCUCGUUGUCAGAUUGUGUUAAAUAGUUUAGGGCCAUCUUGUUAGGCUAAAGACAUGUGUACGACUUUCACAACAAUAUUGCGUACCAAUUCAUGUUAAGACGUAAGCAUGGAAAAAUUUGGGAGUGUUAUCCUAUCAAA
This is an RNA transcript of Zea mays, 1259 nucleotides long. RefSeq lists it as uncharacterized. The transcript is spliced from 7 exons. Lineage: Eukaryota; Viridiplantae; Streptophyta; Magnoliopsida; Poales; Poaceae. The record is from RefSeq and is marked validated.